This 274-nucleotide ribosomal RNA is filed under the name uncultured Prochlorococcus sp. RNAcentral's name for it is "partial 16S ribosomal RNA". It matches the Rfam family "Bacterial small subunit ribosomal RNA", at positions 1259 to 1533 of the family's 1533-position model. The record is from RNAcentral. Lineage: Bacteria; Bacillati; Cyanobacteriota; Cyanophyceae; Synechococcales; Prochlorococcaceae.
GAGACUAGCAAUCCCAUAAACCGUGGCUCAGUUCAGAUCGUAGGCUGCAACUCGCCUACGUGAAGCAGGAAUCGCUAGUAAUCGCAGGUCAGCAUACUGCGGUGAAUACGUUCCCGGGCCUUGUACACACCGCCCGUCACACCAUGGAAGUUGGCCAUGCCCGAAGUCGUUACUCCAACCCUUGUGGAGGAGGACGCCGAAGGUGGGGCUAAUGACUGGGGUGAAGUCGUAACAAGGUAGCCGUACCGGAAGGUGCGGCUGGAUCACCUCCUAA